This 196-nucleotide ribosomal RNA is filed under the name Hypocreales sp. RNAcentral's name for it is "partial large subunit ribosomal RNA". The record is from RNAcentral. Lineage: Eukaryota; Fungi; Ascomycota; Sordariomycetes; Hypocreales.
AAGCGCCUAUGACCAGACUUGGGCCCGGUGAAUCAUCCAGCGUUCUCGCUGGUGCACUCUUCUGUCGACAGGCCAGCAUCAGUUUGGGCGGCCGGAUAAAGGCAUUGGGAACGUGGCUCCUCGGAGUGUUAUAGCCCUUUGCACAAUGCGGCCAGCCCGGACUGAGGACCGCGAUUCACGGAUGCUGGCUUAAUGG